UCACAGGGCUUGUGAUCCGUGGAGUUUCACAUUGAUUCAAUGCAGAAGUAUAAACCAGGCUUAUUUGUAUCACACAUUGAUUUAAAGGUGACAACCUGACCCUGUCAGGGACAGCAACAAGAACUUUUGGUGGACAAUUACACCCAUUACAGCCUGUUCCAUGGCUGCAGGAUGAAGAAAUCUACUGGAACAAUUCCAAGCUAGAAGGUCAUCAAACUCAUUUCUGGACAGCCUCAAGUAGCUGGGAGCAGCAGGAGAGUUCUUUCAGACACAGUUCAUGGAGGAGGAGGAGACAUUAAUCCAGCUGUGAAGCCCAGCCAUGAAGUGGACACAAGAGGACGGCUUUAUGAACCAGAGUUUUCAGAGGAAGAGCAAGACUCAACGUACCCAAGGAGAGAGAGGAGAAACUUCUGUUCUAACUGGAGAGCAAGAGACAUCUCAAGUUACCUGGGGAUGCAGCAGAGGCCAAGUUGAGCUUGUUGAGCAUCCUGCAGACUCCCCGGGGCUGAGGUAGAGCUGUGAGAAAUGUGAGGAGCGGAUCGAUGUGAUGAACGGCUGACUCUCCGAGUAGCGAGCAGACGAACUGAACCGCCGGCUAAACCUGCACCGCUCUGUAGCUUUCAUCAAUUCCUCUUUACAUGGAGAGAACGCAGUUACUACAGCACAGACAUGAAUUAAACAUCAUGUUCAAUCAA
Notolabrus celidotus (New Zealand spotty) is the source of this 695-nucleotide long non-coding RNA. RefSeq lists it as uncharacterized. The record is from RefSeq and is a predicted model, not a curated record. The transcript has 4 exons. Lineage: Eukaryota; Metazoa; Chordata; Actinopteri; Labriformes; Labridae.